RNAcentral lists this ribosomal RNA (509 nucleotides) under uncultured bacterium. RNAcentral's name for it is "bacterial SSU rRNA". It matches the Rfam family "Bacterial small subunit ribosomal RNA", at positions 8 to 518 of the family's 1533-position model. The record is from RNAcentral.
AGAGUUUGAUUAUGGCUCAGGAUGAACGCUGGCGGCGUGCUUAACACAUGCAAGUCGAGCGAAGCACUUCACAGAUUCUUCGGAUUGAAGUGGAUUGACUUAGCGGCGGACGGGUGAGUAACGCGUGGGGAACCUGCCCCAUACCGGGGGAUAACAGUUAGAAAUGACUGCUAAUACCGCAUAAGCGCACAGUGAGGCAUCUCACAGUGUAGAAAAACUCCGGUGGUAUGGGAUGGACCCGCGUUGGAUUAGCCAGUUGGCGGGUAACGGCCCACCAAAGCGACGAUCCAUAGCCGGCCUGAGAGGGCGACCGGCCACAUUGGGACUGAGACACGGCCCAAACUCCUACGGGAGGCAGCAGGUGGGGAAUAUUGCACAAUGGGGGAAACCCUGAUGCAGCCGACGCCGCGUGAAGGAAGAAGUAUCUCGGUAUGUAAACUUCUAUCAGCAGGGAAGAUGAUGACGGUACCUGACUAAGAAGCCCCGGCUAACUACGUGCCAGCAGCCGC